RNAcentral lists this non-coding RNA (99 nucleotides) under Synechococcus sp. RNAcentral's name for it is "TPP sequence". It matches the Rfam family "TPP riboswitch aptamer (THI element)". From Rfam's summary of the family: Vitamin B(1) in its active form thiamin pyrophosphate (TPP) is an essential coenzyme that is synthesised by coupling of pyrimidine and thiazole moieties in bacteria. The previously detected thiamin-regulatory element, thi box was extended, resulting in a new, highly conserved RNA secondary structure, the THI element, which is widely distributed in eubacteria and also occurs in some archaea. Analysis of operon structures identified a large number of new candidate thiamin-regulated genes, mostly transporters, in various prokaryotic organisms. Lineage: Bacteria; Bacillati; Cyanobacteriota; Cyanophyceae; Synechococcales; Synechococcaceae. The record is from RNAcentral. RNAcentral also lists the same sequence under 1 other name.
GGGAAACGCUAGGAGUGUCUGGUUUAAUUUCCAGACUGAGAUAACAUCCUUAGAACCUGUUCGGCUCACACCGGCGUAGGAAAGCAAACUAUAGAGAAU